RNAcentral lists this ribosomal RNA (465 nucleotides) under Vreelandella stevensii. Its description in RNAcentral is "partial 16S ribosomal RNA". It matches the Rfam family "Bacterial small subunit ribosomal RNA", at positions 338 to 795 of the family's 1533-position model. Lineage: Bacteria; Pseudomonadati; Pseudomonadota; Gammaproteobacteria; Oceanospirillales; Halomonadaceae. The record is from RNAcentral.
CCUACGGGUGGCUGCAGUGGGGAAUAAUGGACAAUGGGCGAAAGCCUGAUCCAGCCAUGCCGCGUGUGUGAAGAAGGCCUUCGGGUUGUAAAGCACUUUCAGUGGGGAAGAAAGCCUUGGGGCUAAUACCCUCGAGGAAGGACAUCACCCACAGAAGAAGCACCGGCUAACUCCGUGCCAGCAGCCGCGGUAAUACGGAGGGUGCGAGCGUUAAUCGGAAUUACUGGGCGUAAAGCGCGCGUAGGCGGUCUGAUAAGCCGGUUGUGAAAGCCCCGGGCUCAACCUGGGAACGGCAUCCGGAACUGUCAGGCUAGAGUGCAGGAGAGGAAGGUAGAAUUCCCGGUGUAGCGGUGAAAUGCGUAGAGAUCGGGAGGAAUACCAGUGGCGAAGGCGGCCUUCUGGACUGACACUGACGCUGAGGUGCGAAAGCGUGGGUAGCAAACAGGAUUAGAUACCCGGGUAGUC